RNAcentral lists this small nuclear RNA (18 nucleotides) under Arabidopsis thaliana (thale cress). RNAcentral describes it as "snRNA_00884". The record is from RNAcentral. Lineage: Eukaryota; Viridiplantae; Streptophyta; Magnoliopsida; Brassicales; Brassicaceae.
UACGGGCGAGAGACCGAU